Molecule: long non-coding RNA, 844 nt
Organism: Mangifera indica (mango)
Lineage: Eukaryota; Viridiplantae; Streptophyta; Magnoliopsida; Sapindales; Anacardiaceae
Exons: 5
Source: RefSeq, a predicted model, not a curated record
CCUUCAAAACUAAUGGAUGUUAACAGAACAGAUAGACAUGGGAUUGAUUUAAUUCCAUCUUUUGAGAUGCCUUAGUGUUAUGCUACUAAUUUGUUAUAAUUAUUGGAAAUGAAUUAUUCAUUUUUUUUAACAAUGAUUAUAAGUGCAUCUUCUUCUGUGAUACAGGCUUCUUUUAAGUUUAUAGAAAUGGUGUAGUUAACUUAUUACUUUGGUGAAACCUGAUUUUUCUUGAUGUGUCUUAUAGGUAAGUUCAGCUGAUGCAGAAAAGUUUUGCCUGGCUUUUCAACAAUUUCACAAGAAACUUGUCUAUGAGGGACUAAAUUUGGAUACGGCUAGGAGCUACAUCAACUCAUCAAAGAGUUUGGAGGCAACAAAAGUUUGGACUAAAUUGAUCAAUUGUUGAAUAUAUAUAUGUGUGUGUGUGUUUUGUUCUAUUUUUACUGGCUCUGAAGAAGUUUCCAUUCUGGUUUCAGAUUGUGGUUCUUUUGGUGCUCUCAAUGAUGCAGUGAUACAAGAAAACAGGGGAGGGGAGGAUUCACUGCAAAGGGUUACAAUGUAACCUGUUUGAUCUCUGUUUUGAUUUUCCAUGUGGAGAAAGGAAGUUUAAUGCUGUGUGGCUUUCUAUAUUACUUUUAUUCUUCUGGGAUGAGGUCUUUGGGAAGAUCUGCAGUUUCUAUGUUCAUCAGUUAUUGUUUCUCCCCAACAACGAUGGGAGAUGAAAAAAUAGAAUUGGAUACUGCUACGUGCUGCCUUUCCCAAUCAAUGACAGUUUAUAAAUUAUGCAGCCUUUGUGUGGAGUAAAUUCUCCAAUGAGAUUCUAUUGAGGCUUUCUUUCCAUCUUCUG